AACGAACGCUGGCGGCAUGCCUAACACAUGCAAGUCGAACGAAGGCUUCGGCCUUAGUGGCGCACGGGUGCGUAACGCGUGGGAAUCUGCCCUUUGGUUCGGAAUAACAGCUGGAAACGGCUGCUAAUACCGGAUGAUGACGAAAGUCCAAAGAUUUAUCGCCAGAGGAUGAGCCCGCGUUGGAUUAGGUAGUUGGUGGGGUAAAGGCCUACCAAGCCGACGUUCCAUAGCUGGUCUGAGAGGAUGAUCAGCCACACUGGGACUGAGACACGGCCCAGACUCCUACGGGAGGCAGCAGUGGGGGAUAUUGGACAAUGGGCGCAAGCCUGAUCCAGCAAUGCCGCGUGAGUGAUGAAGGCCCUAGGGUUGUAAAGCUCUUUUACCCGGGAAGCUAAUGACUGUACCGGGAGAAUAAGCCCCGGCUAACUCCGUG
This 433-nucleotide ribosomal RNA is filed under the name uncultured bacterium. RNAcentral's name for it is "partial 16S ribosomal RNA". It matches the Rfam family "Bacterial small subunit ribosomal RNA", at positions 29 to 507 of the family's 1533-position model. The record is from RNAcentral.